UGGGGAAUUUUCCGCAAUGGGCGAAAGCCUGACGGAGUGACGCCGCGUGUGGGACGAAGGCCUUCGGGUCGUAAACCACUGUCAGUGGGAAAGACGGGUGUCGGCGCGAUAACCGCCGGCAUCUGACGGUACCUGCAGAGGAAGCCCCGGCCAACUCUGUGCCAGCAGCCGCGGUAAGACAGAGGGGGCAAGCGUUGCUCGGAAUUACUGGGCGUAAAGGGCGCGUAGGCGGGACGGAAAGUCGGUCGUGAAAUCCUCCGGCUCAACCGGAGAACGGCGAUCGAUACUUCCGUUCUUGAGGGUUGCAGAGGAGACUGGAAUUCCCGGUGUAGCGGUGAAAUGUGUAGAGAUCGGGAGGAACACCGGUGGCGAAGGCGGGUCUCUGGGCAACUCCUGACGCUGAGGCGCGAAAGCGUGGGGAGCAAACGGGAUUAGAUACCCCGGUAGUCCACGCUGUAAACGAUGAGCACUAGGUGUGGGAGGGUUCAGUCCCUUCCGUGCCGCAGCUAACGCAUUAAGUGCUCCGCCUGGGGAGUACGGCCGCAAGGUUGA
This 552-nucleotide ribosomal RNA is filed under the name uncultured bacterium. Its description in RNAcentral is "bacterial SSU rRNA". It matches the Rfam family "Bacterial small subunit ribosomal RNA", at positions 355 to 897 of the family's 1533-position model. The record is from RNAcentral.